RNAcentral lists this ribosomal RNA (253 nucleotides) under uncultured bacterium. RNAcentral describes it as "partial 16S ribosomal RNA". It matches the Rfam family "Bacterial small subunit ribosomal RNA", at positions 524 to 776 of the family's 1533-position model. The record is from RNAcentral.
UACGUAGGGGGCGAGCGUUGUCCGGAUUUAUUGGGCGUAAAGAGCGUGUAGGCGGCCAAGUAGGUCCGGUGUGAAAACUCGAGGCUUAACCUCGAGAUGUCAUCGGAAACCAUUUGGCUAGAGUCCGGAAGAGGAAAGUGGAAUUCCUGGUGUAGCGGUGAAAUGCGCAGAUAUCAGGAGGAACACCGGUGGCGAAGGCGGAUCUCUGGGCCUUGCCUGACGCUGAGGCGCGAAAGCUAGGGGAGCGAACAGG